RNAcentral lists this long non-coding RNA (370 nucleotides) under Canis lupus dingo (dingo). RNAcentral's name for it is "lncRNA (ENSCAFG00020026377.1)". The record is from RNAcentral. Lineage: Eukaryota; Metazoa; Chordata; Mammalia; Carnivora; Canidae.
CACGAGGCUCUGGGCUCUGCCCACCUUCUGCCGCUUUCCUGGGUUCGUGGCCUCCUCCUCCGUCGUGCCUGGGAGCCGUCAUUCCUCGGCCAGCAAGCCCAGGGAGGGGUCCCCGACACCAGAGCCCCGCAGAUGAGGUUGGAAGGAAGGCUGAUGUAGAGAAAUAACAACACGAUUCAGGAUCAUCAUUGAGAUUUUGGAGGAUUGAACAAAAGCAUCUGGUCGGGAACGUCGUUAUGAAGGAAGAGACAAGACCCUGCCUGAGGAGGCACAUAUGAGAAUAACAGAAAGGAGCCUGUGGAUAAAUACAGAAGAGCAGCUGAGGAGGUAGGUAGCAGCCAGAGCUGCGGCUGGACCUGGCAUGGCUCCU